UACGUAGGGUGCGAGCGUUAAUCGGAAUUACUGGGCGUAAAGUGUGCGCAGGCGGCCGCGCAAGUCGAGUGUGAAAGCCCCGGGCUUAACUUGGGAAUUGCGCUCGAAACUACGUGGCUGGAGUGUGGCAGAGGAAGGUGGAAUUCCACGUGUAGCGGUGAAAUGCGUAGAGAUGUGGAGGAACACCAAUGGCGAAGGCAGCCUUCUGGGCCAACACUGACGCUCAGGCACGAAAGCGUGGGGAGCAAACAGG
This 253-nucleotide ribosomal RNA is filed under the name uncultured bacterium. RNAcentral describes it as "partial 16S ribosomal RNA". It matches the Rfam family "Bacterial small subunit ribosomal RNA", at positions 524 to 776 of the family's 1533-position model. The record is from RNAcentral.